RNAcentral lists this long non-coding RNA (1145 nucleotides) under Bos grunniens (domestic yak). RNAcentral's name for it is "lncRNA (ENSBGRG00000006541.1)". Lineage: Eukaryota; Metazoa; Chordata; Mammalia; Artiodactyla; Bovidae. The record is from RNAcentral.
UAAUAUUAUUCUAAGCGGGCAUGAGGCGCUGCGGCCCGAGCCCUGAUUGGUCUGGUUAUCUGACCCGGGGCCUGCCCGCGCCAGACAAUAGUCGGAGUCAAAUUAUUCGCCAUGGAGACGCUGUCAGUCACUGGUAACCCGAGCCCCGGCGGGCCAGGCGGCUCCCCCCGGCCGGCUCCGCUGACAGAUCGCCCGGCUCGGCGCAGAGCGGAGGGCGGCCCGAGACAGGAGCCGGAGGCUCUCCAAAAGCCUGGGAGGAGAUAGGUGCAGCUCCAGCCCAUGUCAUGAGAUGAAAAAGAAGACAGACUAGAGCCCACCCUGAAGCAGGGUCACAGGUGGCCUGCAAUCUACCAUGUUUGGUAAAGUUUUGAUAUUGUUACAAGUUUAUUUGGCCAGAAUUAAUACUGCCUAGGAAGAGCUUGCAAAGUGGACAUUGGGCUGCAGUUACAAACAUAUCUUCCCGAGUCAGCCCCUACCCUCUGUUCCCAUCAUACCGUUUCUUUUUUAAAGUCUAGUCUAUCCUGCGGAGAAGGCAAUGGCACCCCACUCCAGUACUCUUGCCUGGAAAAGCCCAUGGAUGGAAGAGCCUGGUAGGCUGCAAUCCAUGGGGUCGCUAAGAGUCGGAUACGACUGAGCGACUUCACUUUCACUUUUCACUUUCAUGCAUUGGAGAAGGAAAUGGCAACCCACUCCAGUGUUCUUGCCUGGAGAAUCCCAGGGAUGGGGGAGCCUGGUGGGCUGCCAUCUAUGGAGUCACACAGAGUCAGACACGACUGAAGCGACUUAGCAGCAGUAGCAGUAGCAGCAGUCUAUCCUGUACAGCAUCUCAAAGACCCUUUACCCUGUCCCAGCAGAUGGAUGUAUAGUGACGCCUUUACAAAUCAGUGGCAGACCCCCCAUUAGAGCUGGCACGAUCUGGGUUCUUGAAGUUGCUCUUUUGAACUUCUUACUACACAUGACUCUCAAUUUUAGAUUCCAUAAGCUGAGUCUGCUCCAUAGUUAAUCUAUAUAGGCCAAAGUCCCAAAGCAUCUAGCCUUUUGGUGUGUUUGAAAACAGAGGUCAUGGGGUGUUGUCCAUCACACAUGUGCCCAGGCACCUGCGCACGCACACACACACAGGCACACAUGUUCAUGUCCAUGGAGGU